RNAcentral lists this ribosomal RNA (494 nucleotides) under uncultured bacterium. RNAcentral's name for it is "partial 16S ribosomal RNA". It matches the Rfam family "Bacterial small subunit ribosomal RNA", at positions 28 to 507 of the family's 1533-position model. The record is from RNAcentral.
GACGAACGCUGGCGGCGUGCUUAACACAUGCAAGUCGAACGGAAAGGCCUGCUUUCCCUUGUGGAUUGCGGGUACUCGAGUGGCGAACGGGUGAGUAACACGUGAGUGAUCUGCCCCCAACUUGGGUAUAAGCCUGGGAAACUGGGUCUAAUUCCCGAUAGGACUGCAGGGUGGUGCCUGUGGUGGAAAACGAUUUUCUAGUGGUUGGGGAUGAGCUCGCGGCCUAUCAGCUUGUUGGUGGGGUAAUGGCCUACCAAGGCGGCGACGGGUAGCCGGCCUGAGAGGGUGGACGGGCAAAUUGGGACUGAGAUACGGCCCAGACACCUACGGGAGGCAGCAGUGGGGAAUAUUGCACAAUGGGCGGAAGCCUGAUGCAGCGACGCCGCGUGGGGGAUGACGGCCUUCGGGUUGUAAACUCCUUGCGACCGCGAGGAAGCCACCUGGUUGGAAGGGUGGUGACGGUAGUGGUAGAAGAAGCACCGGCUAACUACGUG